This 68-nucleotide transfer RNA is filed under the name Lepomis macrochirus (bluegill). RNAcentral describes it as "tRNA-Ser". Lineage: Eukaryota; Metazoa; Chordata; Actinopteri; Centrarchiformes; Centrarchidae. RNAcentral also lists the same sequence under 1 other name. The record is from RNAcentral.
GAGAGAGGCUCGCCAGCACCGGAAACUGCUAACUUCCACCACCUUGGUUAAACCCCAGGGCUCACUCG